This 1235-nucleotide ribosomal RNA is filed under the name metagenome. Its description in RNAcentral is "bacterial LSU rRNA". It matches the Rfam family "Bacterial large subunit ribosomal RNA", at positions 1564 to 2808 of the family's 2925-position model. The record is from RNAcentral.
UGAAUACGAGAUGCUACGGCGUCGAAGCAGUGUAUGUCAGACUUCCAAGAAAAGCUCGCAAUGUCAUAAAUAAAGAAUGCCUGUACCAUAACCGACACAGGUGGGUAGGUAGAGUAUACUAAGGGGCGCGAGAUAACUCUCUCUAAGGAACUCGGCAAAAUAACUCCGUAACUUCGGGAGAAGGAGUGCCUUCUUUAAGAAGGUUGCAAUAACAAGAUCCAAGCAACUGUUUAUCAAAAACACAGGUCUCCGCUAAGUCGUAAGACGAUGUAUGGGGGCUGACGCCUGCCCAGUGCCAGAAGGUUAAAGAAGUUGGUUAGCUUUUGCGAAGCUGAUGACUGAAGCCCUGGUGAACGGCGGCCGUAACAAUAACGGACCUAAGGUAGCGAAAUUCCUUGUCGGGUAAGUUCCGACCCGCACGAAAGGCGUAAUGAUUUGGAUACUGUCUCGGAGAGGGACUCGGUGAAAUAGACUUGUCUGUGAAGAUGCGGACUACCUGCACCAGGACAGAAAGACCCUAUGAAGCUUUACUGUAACUUGAAAUUGAAAUUGGACUUUAUUUGCGCAGUAUAGGUGGAAGGCGUUGAAAGUAAUCUUGCGGGAUUAGUGGAGCCAUCAGUGAGAUACCACUCCUAUAAUGUUAGAUUUCUAACUUUGGAUCAUGAUCUGGUCAAAGAACAGUUUCAGGCGGGCAGUUUGACUGGGGCGGUCGCCUCCCAAAUGGUAACGGAGGCGUACAAAGGUUUCCUCUGAACGGGUAGAAAUCGUAUCUAGAGUGUAAAGGCAUAAGGAAGCUUGACUGUGAGACCUACAAGUCGAGCAGGGACGAAAGUCGGUCUUAGUGAUCUGACGGCGCUGAGUGGAAAGGCCGUCACUCAACGGAUAAAAGUUACUCUAGGAUAACAGGCUGAUCUCCCCCAAGAGUUCACAUCGACGGGGAGGUUUGGCACCUCGAUGUCGGCUCAUCGCAUCCUGGGGCGGUAGUACGUCCCAAGGGUUGGGCUGUUCGCCCAUGAAAGCGGUACGCGAGCUGGGUUCAGAACGUCGUGAGACAGUUCGGUCCAUAUCCGGUGUAGGCGUUAGAAUAUUGAGAGGAGCCUUCUUUAGUACGAGAGGACCGAGAAGGACAUACCUCUAGUGUACCAGUUAUCGUGCCAACGGUAAACGCUGGGUAGCUAUGUAUGGAGAGGAUAACCGCUGAAAGCAUCUAAGUGGGAAGCCCACCUCAAGAUGAG